RNAcentral lists this ribosomal RNA (270 nucleotides) under uncultured bacterium. RNAcentral's name for it is "partial 16S ribosomal RNA". It matches the Rfam family "Bacterial small subunit ribosomal RNA", at positions 86 to 354 of the family's 1533-position model. The record is from RNAcentral.
UGCCGGCGACCGGCGCACGGGUGAGUAACACGUAUGCGACCUGCCCCCGCAGGGGGAUAACCGGGAGAAAUCCCGACUAAUACCGCGUAACGCCGCGGACCUGCAUGGGUCUGCGGCCAAAGGAAGCGAUUCCGGCGGGGAUGGGCAUGCGGCGCAUUAGCUAGUCGGCGGGGUAACGGCCCACCGAGGCGACGAUGCGUAGGGGUUCUGAGAGGAAGGUCCCCCACACUGGUACUGAGACACGGACCAGACUCCUACGGGAGGCAGCAG